Molecule: ribosomal RNA, 2539 nt
Filed under: Actinomycetota bacterium
Lineage: Bacteria; Bacillati; Actinomycetota
Description: Actinobacteria bacterium (hot springs metagenome) partial 23S ribosomal RNA
Rfam family: Bacterial large subunit ribosomal RNA
Source: RNAcentral
GAUCAAGCUACCAAGGGCGUCUGGUGGAUGCCUUGGGGCGAAGCGCCGAUGAAGGACGCGAACAGCGGCGAUACUCCUCGGGGAGCGGCAACAGCGCGACGAUCCGAGGGUUUCCGAAUGGGGCAACCCGUCCGCCGUAACGGGCGGACACCGAGAGCCGAACACAUAGGCUUUCAGGAGGGCACCCGGGGAACUGAAACAUCUUAGUACCCGGAGGAGAGGAAAGCAUAAGCGAUUCCCCUAGUAGCGGCGAGCGAACGGGGACCAGCCCAAACCGCGAGGGUUCGCCCUUGCGGGGUUGCGGGAUCGAGAGAGGGAGAUGUCGACGAUGCGCGGAAGCGGUCUGGAACGGCCCGCCGCGGAGGGUGAGAGCCCCGUACGUGCGUUGUCGUCGUUUUCCAUCGACACCCAAGUACCGCGGGACACGUGAAAUCCUGCGGGAAUCCGGGAGGACCACCUCCCAAGGCUAAAUACGCUUCGCCACCGAUAGUGAACCAGUACCGUGAGGGAAAGGCGAAAAGAACCCCGGAAGGGGAGUGAAACAGAACCUGAAACCAGAGCGCCUACAAGCAGUCGGAGCGUCCUUCGGGGCGUGACGGCGUGCCUUUUGCAGAAUGAACCGGCGAGUUGUCGUCAGUCGUGGAUUAACCCGUUGAGCGGGGGAGGCAGAGCGAAAGCGAGUGCGAAAAGCGCGUGCAAUGGCUGGCGGCGGACCCGAAACCGCGUGAUCUACCCAUGGUCAGGGGGAAGCUUGGGUAACUCCCAGGUGGACGCCCGAACCAGUGUCGGUUGAAGACGGCUUGGAUGAACUGUGGGUAGGGGUGAAAUGCCAAUCGAACGCGGAGAUAGCUGGUUCUCCCCGAAAUGCAUUGAGGUGCAGCGUCGAUUGUUUUGUCGCGCCGGUAGGGCGCUGGAUGGUCUAGGGGCCUUGCCAGGUUACCGAAAUCAACCGAACCGCGAAUGGCGUGACACGAAGAUCGGCAGUGAGACGGCCGGGGAUAAGCUUGGUCGUCGAAAGGGAAACAGCCCGGACCCUCUGCUAAGGUCCCAAAGCGCAGGCUUAGUGUGAAAGGAUGUGGGAAUGCCCAGACAACCAGGAUGUUGGCUCAGAAGCAGCCACCAUUGAAAGAGUGCGUAACAGCUUACUGGUCGAUGUGUUCCCGCGCCGAUAAUGUAGGGGGGCUGAAGCCUGCCACCGAAGCAAGGGAUGCGUUCCUUCGGGAUCGCAUGGUAGGGGAGUGUUCCGUGCGCGGCGAAGCCGCGGGCGCAAGCCCGGGUGGAGCGCAUGGAAGCAAGGAUGCCGGUAUAAGUAGCGAGAAGACGGGUGAGAAUCCCGUCCGCCGAAAGUCCAAGGUUUCUUAAGGAAGGUUCGUCCUCUUGAGUUUAGCCGGUCCUAAGACGAGGCCGAAGGGCGUAGUCGAUGGCAGUCCGGUGGAUAUUCCGGAGCCGGGUGUGUCUUAUCACGCGAGGACGCGAAUCGAUGGCUGGUCACGGGAAUGGUGGUCCGUGUCGGGUGGGGAGACUUCGGUUGCCCCUCCCGCGAGUGGAACCUUCGGGGGAAGCGAAGCCGGCUUGAGUUUCGCCGCGAAAAGUCGCGUGCGCUGUCACAUUCGACCGUACCGCAAACCGACACAGGUGGAUAGGUAGAGGAUACCAAGGCGUUCGAGAUAACUCUCGUUAAGGAACUAGGCAAUUUAACCCCGUAACUUAGGGAGAAGGGGUGCCUUCGCGGGUGAGGGGCUGCAACGCCUCUUGCGUGCGGAGGUCGCAGUGAAACGGCUUGAGCGACUGUUUACCAAAAACACAGGUCUCUGCGAAGUCGAAAGACGAAGUAUAGGGGCUGACACCUGCCCAAUGCCAGAAGGUUAACAGGAGAGGUGAACCCGCAAGGGGGCGGCCUUGAAUCGAAGCCCUGGUGAAUGGCGGCCGUAACUAUAACGGUCCUAAGGUAGCGAAAUUCCUUGUCGGGUAAGUUCCGACCCGCACGAAUGGUGUAACGACUUAAGCGCUGUCUCAACGAGAGACUCGGUGAAAUUGUAGCAUGCGUGAAGAUGCGCAUUACCCUCCGCAGGACGGAAAGACCCCGUGGAGCUUUACUACACCUUGUCAUUGUGUUUUGGUUAGGCUUGCAGAGCGUAGGUGGGAGACUUCGGUCGCCAAUGGAACACCACCCUGGCCUAUCCGGGAUUCUAACCCGGACCGUGAUCCGGUUGCGGGGACAGUGGCAGGCGGGUAGUUUGACUGGGGCGGUCGCCUCCCAAAAGGUAACGGAGGCGUCCCAAGGUGCCCUCGGGCUGGUUGGAAAUCAGCCGAUGCGUACAAGGGCGUAAGGGUGCUUGACUGUGCGAACGACGGUUCCAGCAGGGACGAAAGUCGGGCCUAGUGAUCCUCUGGCGGCAAGUGGGUGCGCCAGGGCUCAUCGGAUAAAAGCUACCCCGGGGAUAACAGGCUUAUCUUGCCCAAGCGCUCACAGCGACGGCAAGGUUUGGCACCUCGAUGUCGGCUCGUCGCAUCCUGGGGCUGGAUUAGGUCCCAAGGG